ACCCGGAGGCCGAGGUCCUGCGGUUGAGCCGCCGCGCAUCCCACCCAGGCGCGGGAGCCGCGGGCCAGCAAUGCUGUGGGGAGGCCGAGGAGGCGCGCAGGGCUCCCUGGCCGACUGAGGUCCAGCUUGGGGAACCUGCGGAAGUGACCAGAGUGGCAGAACUCGGGGACAUAGAAGUCGAAGGGACCCAAUCUCCGAGGAGUUGAGAUCGGUCUCGCUGGGGUCGAUGGCUGCUACCUAGAUUCAUUUGGUUCGGCAAAUGUUCAUUGAAGGCAGUCUUUUCUGUGCUAACCACUGGAAACCAAAAGAUGAAUAAGAGAAGGCCCUGCCCUCGUGGGGAAGGAAACGAGACCCCUGCCCCACAACUGCAAGGAACUGAAUUUGGUCAACAACCUGAAUGAUCUUGGAAGCAGAUUUCAUCUGAGAGCCUCCAGAGAACGCAGCCCUACUGACACCUUGAUGUCGUCCUUGUGACACUCUA
This 481-nucleotide long non-coding RNA is filed under the name Equus caballus (horse). RNAcentral's name for it is "lncRNA (ENSECAG00000059044.1)". The record is from RNAcentral. Lineage: Eukaryota; Metazoa; Chordata; Mammalia; Perissodactyla; Equidae.